Molecule: ribosomal RNA, 404 nt
Filed under: uncultured bacterium
Lineage: Bacteria
Description: bacterial SSU rRNA
Rfam family: Bacterial small subunit ribosomal RNA
Source: RNAcentral
UGGGGAAUAUUGGACAAUGGGCGCAAGCCUGAUCCAGCAAUGCCGCGUGGGUGAAGAAGGUCUUCGGAUUGUAAAGCCCUUUCGGCGGGGACGAUGAUGACGGUACCCGCAGAAGAAGCCCCGGCUAACUUCGUGCCAGCAGCCGCGGUAAUACGAAGGGGGCUAGCGUUGCUCGGAAUUACUGGGCGUAAAGGGCGCGUAGGCGGCGCUGCAAGUCAGGCGUGAAAUUCCUGGGCUUAACCUGGGGGCUGCGCUUGAGACUGUAGUGCUAGAGGACGGAAGAGGGUCGUGGAAUUCCCAGUGUAGAGGUGAAAUUCGUAGAUAUUGGGAAGAACACCGGUGGCGAAGGCGGCGACCUGGUCCGUUACUGACGCUGAGGCGCGACAGCGUGGGGAGCAAACAGG